UUUGCAAGCCUAAAGCUUCUGUUGCAAGCUCACCCAGAAUGUCCUCUGCAUCAUAAGCCAACUCCUGGAGAUCAUCGAGCCACAACUUAGCUGCAUCACCGGUCAGUUGCUUCUCACCCGCAUCAAUAGGCAAGGCCUAAAUCGUCUUCAAAUAUUUUUCCAGCUUUUUCAGCUUCGGAAUUAAACCCUCUUGUCUUGCAGCUCAGGGGAUGUCAAUUUGUCAAACAGAGCUGAAAGUAACGCGCUUAAAAACAUCUCUACCAAAGCCAUGGUUUAUGGGAGGAAUAUCCAGAUGGAUUAUAUCACACAGAAGUUAUGAUGAUCGUGAGGUUACGAGACUAUUUGCCUCUGCAAUUCACCUUCACGCAUGAAUGCAUGAAUUAAUAAAUAAAUUAAAUAGAAGGUUUUCAUCUCUUGAAUUCCUGUUGUUUCUGAAAGUAAUUUAUAGAUCAGAAAUUUCAAAAAUACUUUUCUUUAAAUCAAUUGAAAUUAUAUUUUUGAUCACUCAAGUGCCUACCCAUCACACAAGU
RNAcentral lists this long non-coding RNA (530 nucleotides) under Citrus sinensis (sweet orange). RNAcentral describes it as "long non-coding RNA (CSIN_LNC001636)". Lineage: Eukaryota; Viridiplantae; Streptophyta; Magnoliopsida; Sapindales; Rutaceae. The record is from RNAcentral.